This 305-nucleotide ribosomal RNA is filed under the name uncultured bacterium. Its description in RNAcentral is "bacterial SSU rRNA". It matches the Rfam family "Bacterial small subunit ribosomal RNA", at positions 333 to 635 of the family's 1533-position model. The record is from RNAcentral.
GUGAUCCUACGGGGGGCAGCAGUGAGGAAUAUUGGUCAAUGGGCGAGAGCCUGAACCAGCCAAGUCGCGUGAAGGAUGACGGCCCUAUGGGUUGUAAACUUCUUUUGUCAGGGAGCAAUUGGGUCCACGCGUGGGCUUAGCGAGAGUACCUGAAGAAAAAGCAUCGGCUAACUCCGUGCCAGCAGCCGCGGUAAUACGGAGGAUGCGAGCGUUAUCCGGAUUUAUUGGGUUUAAAGGGUGCGUAGGCGGAAUAUCGAGUCAGCGGUAAAAAUUCGGGGCUCAACCCCGUCGUGCCGUUGAAACUG